Molecule: long non-coding RNA, 253 nt
Filed under: Ornithorhynchus anatinus (platypus)
Lineage: Eukaryota; Metazoa; Chordata; Mammalia; Monotremata; Ornithorhynchidae
Description: lncRNA (ENSOANG00000042440.1)
Source: RNAcentral
CCCGGCACAUGUUCUGCAGCCCAUCUCUCUGUUCUGAUCCCCUUUCUAUAACCUUUUUUUUUUUUCUUUAGCACCAACCCAUAGGAUCUCAUUCCUGCUGCCGCUCUCUUUGAGAUUGUUCCUGCCCUGCCCACAGUGCUUCCGGCCACCAUUUUCCAAGUUGAAAAUCAAGAGUUUUGGCUCGGCGAACGCUUCGUCUUAAGGUAAUUGCAGCAUAAUUCCCUAAUUUUGUUAGGGACUUGGAUUGAUAGAG